This 253-nucleotide ribosomal RNA is filed under the name uncultured bacterium. Its description in RNAcentral is "partial 16S ribosomal RNA". It matches the Rfam family "Bacterial small subunit ribosomal RNA", at positions 524 to 776 of the family's 1533-position model. The record is from RNAcentral.
UACGAGGGGGGCAAGCGUUGUUCGGAAUUAUUGGGCGUAAAGGGCGCGUAGGCGGUGCGGUAAGUCACCUGUGAAACCUCUAGGCUUAACCUAGAGCCUGCAGGCGAAACUGCCGUGCUUGAGGGUGGGAGAGGUGCGUGGAAUUCCCGGUGUAGCGGUGAAAUGCGCAGAUAUCAGGAAGAACACCGACGGCGAAGGCAGCUCGCUGGGACGGUACUGACGCUGAGGCGCGAAAGCGUGGGGAGCGAACAGG